Molecule: transfer RNA, 70 nt
Filed under: Monodelphis domestica (gray short-tailed opossum)
Lineage: Eukaryota; Metazoa; Chordata; Mammalia; Didelphimorphia; Didelphidae
Rfam family: tRNA
About the family: Transfer RNA (tRNA) molecules are approximately 80 nucleotides in length. Their secondary structure includes four short double-helical elements and three loops (D, anti-codon, and T loops). Further hydrogen bonds mediate the characteristic L-shaped molecular structure. tRNAs have two regions of fundamental functional importance: the anti-codon, which is responsible for specific mRNA codon recognition, and the 3' end, to which the tRNAs corresponding amino acid is attached (by aminoacyl-tRNA synthetases). tRNAs cope with the degeneracy of the genetic code in two manners: having more than one tRNA (with a specific anti-codon) for a particular amino acid; and 'wobble' base-pairing, i.e. permitting non-standard base-pairing at the 3rd anti-codon position.
Source: Rfam by way of RNAcentral
GUUAAUGUAGCUUAAUUUUAAAGCAAAGCACUGAAAAUGCUUAGAUGGUUCAUAGUAUAACCCAUAAACA